Molecule: ribosomal RNA, 774 nt
Filed under: uncultured Neocallimastigales
Lineage: Eukaryota; Fungi; Neocallimastigomycota; Neocallimastigomycetes; Neocallimastigales
Description: partial large subunit ribosomal RNA
Rfam family: Eukaryotic large subunit ribosomal RNA
Source: RNAcentral
CUAUACAUGACUCUGCGCAUAUCAAUAAGCGGAGGAAAAGAAACUAACAAGGAUUCCCUUAGUAACGGCGAGUGAAGCGGGAAGAGCUCAAAUUUGAAAUCUUCAAGGUUCUACCUUGACGAAUUGUAGUUUAUAGAAGUGUUUUCUGUUAGUAGAGUGGCAAAAGUUCUUUGGAAUAGGACAUCAUAGAGGGUGAGAAUCCCGUAUUUGGUCAUUCUUUCUAGCUUUGUGAUACACUUUCAACGAGUCGGAUUGUUUGGGAAUGCAGUCCAAAAUGGGUGGUAAAUUUCAUCUAAAGCUAAAUAUUGGCGAGAGACCGAUAGCGAACAAGUACCGUGAGGGAAAGAUGAAAAGAACUUUGAAAAGAGAGUUAAACAGUACGUGAAAUUGUCAAAAGGGAAGCGUUUGACACCAGUGUUGUUUUUCCGAAAAUCAAUUACGAAUGUCUUGUUUUUGAGGAGUUAUGACUUCAUCGGCUUGCUCCUUUCUUUACGAAACUUUCUUAAUGCACUUUUCGGUUAACAAGUCAAUAUCAAUUUCUUUUGUUGUAAAAAGGUAAGAGGAAGGUGGCUUGCGCUUCGGCUCAAGUGUUUAUAGCCUUUUACCCCUGCAAUCGGAGAGAUUGAGGUCUGCAGCGUAGAUCCUUCGGGGUUAGAUACAUUUGUGCUAAGCUAUAGCCUUGUAUAGACAACUUGUUGACUAUGCUCAGUCAUGUAGCUUACUCGCUUAUGCUAUUUUACCUACGCUUAGGAUGUUGAUAGUCACAGCGUGUAC